ACGAACGCUGGCGGCGUGCUUAACACAUGCCAGUCGCACGGAAAGGCCCUGCUUUUGUGGGGUGCUCGAGUGGCGAACGGGUGAGUAACACGUGAGUAACCUGCCCUUGACUUUGGGAUAACUUCAGGAAACUGGGGCUAAUACCGGAUAGGAGCUCCUGCUGCAUGGUGGGGGUUGGAAAGUUUCGGCGGUUGGGGAUGGACUCGCGGCUUAUCAGCUUGUUGGUGGGGUAGUGGCUUACCAAGGCUUUGACGGGUAGCCGGCCUGAGAGGGUGACCGGCCACAUUGGGACUGAGAUACGGCCCAGACUCCUACGGGAGGCAGCAGUGGGGAAUAUUGCACAAUGGGCGGAAGCCUGAUGCAGCAACGCCGCGUGCGGGAUGACGGCCUUCGGGUUGUAAACCGCUUUCGCCUGUGACGAAGCGUGAGUGACGGUAAUGGGUAAAGAAGCACCGGCUAACUACGUG
This 467-nucleotide ribosomal RNA is filed under the name uncultured bacterium. Its description in RNAcentral is "partial 16S ribosomal RNA". It matches the Rfam family "Bacterial small subunit ribosomal RNA", at positions 29 to 507 of the family's 1533-position model. The record is from RNAcentral.